This 196-nucleotide non-coding RNA is filed under the name Paenibacillus sp. The record is from RNAcentral. RNAcentral also lists the same sequence under 1 other name. Lineage: Bacteria; Bacillati; Bacillota; Bacilli; Caryophanales; Paenibacillaceae.
UAUACGGAACAUGCUUCAGGUCUUGUCAGCUGCAACGGCGCAGCUGAUGAGUGAAAAGGGAAACCGGUGAGAACCCGGUACGGUCCCGCCACUGUAAAAGGCAUUGCUCCUCAAUUGGCCACUGUCAGCUGCUGAUGGGAAGGCGAGGAGUGGAAAAGCCUAAAGUCAGGAGACCUGCCUGAAGAUGGACGAAAUG